RNAcentral lists this long non-coding RNA (1580 nucleotides) under Homo sapiens (human). Its description in RNAcentral is "HSALNT0387484". Lineage: Eukaryota; Metazoa; Chordata; Mammalia; Primates; Hominidae. The record is from RNAcentral.
GACGGGCUCCUGCUCUUCCUCAAGGGGCUCGUGGUCUAGGACAGGAGGUUGGAACACACAUCCCCGCAGGGGCCAGGAGGGGAAACUCUGCAAGGGCAUUGAGUGGAGGAGACUGCAAGGAGACAGCCACAGCCCUUCCCAGGGUCAGCAGGUAUCACCUUGAUGGAAUUGAGCCCCACCUUGACAGAUCUUCUGAUUUUCCAAGAAGAAUCUGGGAACCUCUUUUUAAACAUGUUUUUAUUAAGAGACAGGGUCUUGCUUGUUGCCGAGGCUGGCCUUGAAUUCCUGGGCUCAAGUGAUCCUCCUGCCUCAGCUUCCCAGGUAGUUGGGACUACAGGUGGAUGCAAUCGCUUCUGGCUUUGGGAAUCCAUUUUUUAAAGUUGAACUCUCCUGAUGAUGAAGUGUCAGCAACUAAUCCCCGAAAUGUGAAAACCCUGUGCUUUUGAUGGGAACGUAAAAUGAUGCAGUUGCUUCGCAAAACAGCUGGCAGUCCAUCAAACGGUCUAACAUAGGGUUACCCUGCAACCCAGCAACUCCACUCCUAGACAUAUAGCCAACAGAACUGAAAACAUCCAGCCAUCCGCACACGAACUUGUAUAGGAAGGUGCGUAGCAGCCCUCAGUCCUACAGACAAAUGAAUACUGACUGGCAACAACCCAAGUGAGUGUGGAGGUGGGUUCUUCCCCGGUCGAGUCCCCAGGUGAGACUGCGUCCUGGCCAACAAACCAAGUGAGUGUGGAGGCGGGUUCCUCCACGGUUGAGCCUCCAUCUGAGACUGCGUCCUAGCCAACACCUUGAUCUGCAGCCUAGUGAGGCCCAGAGCAGAGGGCCCAGUUGAACUGUGUGAUAAUAAACAUGUGUGGCUGUAAGCUGCUAAACAUGUCAUACUUUGUUACACAGCAACAGAGAGCUGAUACAGUCCUUAAAGUUCUAGAACAGUGCCUGGCCUAGGUAUCAGUGUUCCCUGGCACCACUGUCUGCUGAGCUGUGUGUGUCAGAAACAGAGGGAACCAGGUGCCAGUCCCUCCCCUGGCCUAGCUCUUCCCACUACCAUGACUCUUGUUGGGAGUGAAAGGAUUUUACCCCCUUUCUUUGUCAGCAGCUGGCCUGGACUCCCAGGGGAGCCUGGUCAAUAUUAAUGGACACGCAAGGCUGUGGGGCACACAGGGUUUUGUGAUUAUGGAUUAUCUCCUGCUCAGCACCAUCUUGAAGGUGGAGACAAAAGUUCUCAGCCAGGCUGGCCACACUGAGAAGAGGAUGUUUGUGAAAAGACCUGAAGGAAACGAGGACACUAGCCACAGAGAUAGCUGGGGAAGAGUGUUCCUGGAACAAGGAACAGCAAGCGCAAUGGCCCAGAGGCAGCAGCACAUUUGCAAACCUUUUCUUAAAGGGCCAGAUGGUAUUUUUUGGCUUUGUGGGCUGAAUGGUCUCUGUCAAAACCACUCAGCUUUGCCACUGCAGCACCCAAGCAGCCUCAGACAAUACCUAAAUGAACAUGUGUGGCUGUUCCAAUAAAACUUUAUUUACGGACACUAAAAUUUGAAUUUCAUAUAAUUUUUAUCUGUGGUGAAAUACUGUUC